CGCUGGCGGCGUGCCUAAUACAUGCAAGUCGAACGCUUCUUUUUCCACCGGAGCUUGCUCCACCGGAAAAAGAGGAGUGGCGAACGGGUGAGUAACACGUGGGUAACCUGCCCAUCAGAAGGGGAUAACACUUGGAAACAGGUGCUAAUACCGUAUAACAAUCGAAACCGCAUGGUUUUGAUUUGAAAGGCGCUUUCGGGUGUCGCUGAUGGAUGGACCCGCGGUGCAUUAGCUAGUUGGUGAGGUAACGGCUCACCAAGGCCACGAUGCAUAGCCGACCUGAGAGGGUGAUCGGCCACAUUGGGACUGAGACACGGCCCAAACUCCUACGGGAGGCAGCAGUAGGGAAUCUUCGGCAAUGGACGAAAGUCUGACCGAGCAACGCCGCGUGAGUGAAGAAGGUUUUCGGAUCGUAAAACUCUGUUGUUAGAGAAGAACAAGGAUGAGAGUAACUGUUCAUCCCUUGACGGUAUCUAACCAGAAAGCCACGGCUAACUACGUGCCAGCAGCCGCGGUAAUACGUAGGUGGCAAGCGUUGUCCGGAUUUAUUGGGCGUAAAGCGAGCGCAGGCGGUUUCUUAAGUCUGAUGUGAAAGCCCCCGGCUCAACCGGGGAGGGUCAUUGGAAACUGGGAGACUUGAGUGCAGAAGAGGAGAGUGGAAUUCCAUGUGUAGCGGUGAAAUGCGUAGAUAUAUGGAGGAACACCAGUGGCGAAGGCGGCUCUCUGGUCUGUAACUGACGCUGAGGCUCGAAAGCGUGGGGAGCAAACAGGAUUAGAUACCCUGGUAGUCCACGCCGUAAACGAUGAGUGCUAAGUGUUGGAGGGUUUCCGCCCUUCAGUGCUGCAGCUAACGCAUUAAGCACUCCGCCUGGGGAGUACGACCGCAAGGUUGAAACUCAAAGGAAUUGACGGGGGCCCGCACAAGCGGUGGAGCAUGUGGUUUAAUUCGAAGCAACGCGAAGAACCUUACCAGGUCUUGACAUCCUUUGACCACUCUAGAGAUAGAGCUUCCCCUUCGGGGGCAAAGUGACAGGUGGUGCAUGGUUGUCGUCAGCUCGUGUCGUGAGAUGUUGGGUUAAGUCCCGCAACGAGCGCAACCCUUAUUGUUAGUUGCCAUCAUUCAGUUGGGCACUCUAGCAAGACUGCCGGUGACAAACCGGAGGAAGGUGGGGAUGACGUCAAAUCAUCAUGCCCCUUAUGACCUGGGCUACACACGUGCUACAAUGGGAAGUACAACGAGUCGCGAAGUCGCGAGGCUAAGCUAAUCUCUUAAAGCUUCUCUCAGUUCGGAUUGCAGGCUGCAACUCGCCUGCAUGAAGCCGGAAUCGCUAGUAAUCGCGGAUCAGCACGCCGCGGUGAAUACGUUCCCGGGCCUUGUACACACCGCCCGUCACACCACGAGAGUUUGUAACACCCGAAGUCGGUGAGGUAACCUUCUGGAGCCAGCCGCCUAAGGUGGGAUAGAUA
Molecule: ribosomal RNA, 1467 nt
Filed under: uncultured organism
Description: SSU rRNA
Rfam family: Bacterial small subunit ribosomal RNA
Source: RNAcentral